UACCCGAGGAGGGCGAGGCAGGAGACAGAGUCGGAGAGGAGGCGUGGGUCAAAACCAGGUCGGGACAAGCAGGUACAGGGAGCAGGCUGGAGACGUGGUAGUAGACAGGCGAGGGUCGUGGUGGCAGGCAGAGUUCAAGGCAGGGGUCAGUCGAAAAAACGAGGUCCAGAGGCAGUAAGGCAAGGUGCAAGGCUGGAAGAUCUACUAACAAAAAGUGUUCAAUAAUCUGUCGGGGGACUGGUGGCUGGCUGGUGAAUAUAUAGCAGGGGGAGCAGGUGUGUGUAAUGAGCUGAUGACAGGGACAGGUGAGAUGAAUGAAGUGGCUGAGGGCUUGAUGAGGAGGCAGCAGAGGCAGAGGAGGGUGAAAGACUGGGAGUCAUGGCAUUAACAUAUUUUUAUUUUUUGUUUUUCACAACACGGAAUGUUUAUGGAGACAGUAAAGACCCACAUGGCAGCACAAACUGAUGUGAGUUUUGCAUAAUGUCACCUUUAACCAUAUGAUAGCAGAACCUCACCGGCUUUAGGACCCUGAAGCAGUGGAAGGGGAAGCCGCCAUCCUCUCCUCCACCACUACGAUGUUGCCUCUCAUCCCUCCAGCUGUAAUCAUGAGUUUUAUUGUGAUAAUCAGCGCUCAGCAGGACGAGUCCAGGCUGACAGAGCGACCUUAUGAGGUGCUGCAGAAGCAGAAUUUAGUCAUCAUGGGGAGCGUGCUCGCUGUCCUGCUGCUGUUGAUGAUCAUCAUGGCUGUGUGUGUGUACAAACCGCUGUCCCGUCGCUGACCAGGGAAAGGACCUGUCCGGACACGAUCAGACGGUCUCUGACAUCUGUCACCAGGAAGUCCUGCUGAUAAAAACGUUUGAAAUGUUUCAGGUUUUAGAAAUGUGUUUGCGUUUGUCUUGAUCGUGUAAACAACGGAAUAUGGUUCCAAAGGUCCGAAGAUCUGGAUGAAGACAGAAAGUGAACAUGGACAAAGGGGACACAUGCCAUACUAUCAGAGAUCUACCUAUAGAAAGUGAUUUUCAGAAAUGGUCUAGGGCAAGUUCCCAUCGGCUGUGAUGAAUUUCGUCUCUGGAGAAGAAAUGGGGAUAAAACAGCUGGAAAAGGACAAAACACAUCUGCAUUUCACACGGGAUGAAAGAAAAACAUCUGAAUCUGUCCUGAAUCCAGCAAACCUUUUCUCCAACGACAUAUUAAGUAAUUUUUAUUUUUAUUUUGGGGUGGGUGGGAAUGUCCACACUGCUGCUGGAUGAUGAGCCAAAAACAAAUAAUGUGCUGGCGUUUGAAAACUUUUGAAAUUCUACUGUUGGAUGCAUAUUUAUUUAUUUAUUUAUUAAAAAUGAAAAAUUUUUUAAAACAGUAUAUAA
Nothobranchius furzeri (turquoise killifish) is the source of this 1364-nucleotide non-coding RNA. Lineage: Eukaryota; Metazoa; Chordata; Actinopteri; Cyprinodontiformes; Nothobranchiidae. The record is from RefSeq and is a predicted model, not a curated record.